GCAGAUUUCUAACUAUCCACUCCGAGUCUGAAAGUUUCACAAGUCAUUACACAAAGAAGUUGUUGUGGUGAGAUUUGAACUUGGAUUCCUGGAACAUUAGCCUGAGCAUCUGGAUUAUGAACCCAGUACAACCAUCAAUAUAUCAACACCUGCCAGUUAGGUGUUUUGCCACCUCAGAAGCGCAAUAUGAAUUCAGGUUAUUCUUAUUGAGCUUCUAUUCAAUCCUUUUUGCCCUUUGCAAUGGAAUUGAUAUUUUGCAAGUAGUAAUUUGUAAAACUUUAGAGAAAAAGAAACUGAUGGACACAAUUCAGGAAAUCAUAUUUUAGUCAAUCAGCAAAGUUUCAUCAAUGGGUGACUCACCCAACCAAAGUGGCAACUUUCACAAUCUGAUCUCCAUGUGGUAUUGAAAGUUAGCAAUGUCAAAUAAAUGAUAAACGAGACUUUGUUGUUGCUCAGUAUUGCUACUUGAUGAUAUGUUAACAAUUCAAUAUAACUGUUUAAUGUAACAUUAGUGUUGAACAGACAUUUUGGAGAACUGUUAAAAAAUAACUUAUUAAGCGCAAUGAUUUUUGCUUUAACAAGGUGUAGAGCUGGAUGAACAAGCAGCAUCAGAGGAUCAGGAAAGCUGAUGUUUCGGGUCUAGACCCUUCUUCAGAACAUUGGUCCCUCCAAUAUAUCUUCAUGACAUAGUCAGUCACAAAUAUGUUCUUCAGUAAAAAUGCACCUGCCUGAUUUCAUCUCGAACUCUCCAAAUGUUUCCUUCAGUACCUGCAAAUGAUCCCUCAAAGUCAAUGACACACAGACACACGUGUCAUCUUUCAUGUGGUUAUUGAUAAUACCGAGCUGAACCUUCCCAUUCCUUUCUUCCAGCUCGCAACUAUUGUACAGCUUUAAAUGUCGCGUUUUUUAUGAACUAGGGUUUUCUACAAUGGAAAGACUAAAGGCAUUGCUUUCAGACCACACCAUAAAGGUCUGUAAGCUUGCCAUCCUUUUUUUGUAUCAUUGCACAGAACUCAGACAGGCACCAAACCUUCAAGACAGGUUAUGAUGUUUUGAUUCAUGACCCUUCAGUAUAAGAAGUCACCAUCCUACUCUGUUAUUCGUGCUUGCAGUUAAGCAGUCAAUCUGUUAGCCUGUCAAUCAACUGUAUAUGUAAUAUGAUAGUCAUCUGAGCAUUUAACAGACUGUACAUGUAAGUCUGACAUGUCAUAUUAAUUGCCAAUAAACUUCCAGAUACUUGACUCAA
Rhincodon typus (whale shark) is the source of this 1246-nucleotide long non-coding RNA. RefSeq lists it as uncharacterized. The record is from RefSeq and is a predicted model, not a curated record. The transcript is spliced from 2 exons. NCBI's taxonomy places the organism in Eukaryota, Metazoa, Chordata, Chondrichthyes, Orectolobiformes, Rhincodontidae.